RNAcentral lists this ribosomal RNA (809 nucleotides) under uncultured bacterium. RNAcentral describes it as "bacterial SSU rRNA". It matches the Rfam family "Bacterial small subunit ribosomal RNA", at positions 97 to 916 of the family's 1533-position model. The record is from RNAcentral.
GGCGAACGGGUGAGUAACACGUGAGUAACCUGCCCUUAACUCUGGGAUAAGCCUGGGAAACUGGGUCUAAUACCGGAUAUGACUCCUCAUCGCAUGGUGGGGGGUGGAAAGCUUUUUUGUGGUUUUGGAUGGACUCGCGGCCUAUCAGCUUGUUGGUGAGGUAAUGGCUUACCAAGGCGACGACGGGUAGCCGGCCUGAGAGGGUGACCGGCCACAUUGGGACUGAGACACGGCCCAGACUCCUACGGGAGGCAGCAGUGGGGAAUAUUGCACAAUGGGCGAAAGCCUGAUGCAGCGACGCCGCGUGAGGGAUGACGGCCUUCGGGUUGUAAACCUCUUUCAGUAGGGAAGAAGCGAAAGUGACGGUACCUGCAGAAGAAGCGCCGGCUAACUACGUGCCAGCAGCCGCGGUAAUACGUAGGGCGCAAGCGUUAUCCGGAAUUAUUGGGCGUAAAGAGCUCGUAGGCGGUUUGUCGCGUCUGCCGUGAAAGUCCGGGGCUCAACUCCGGAUCUGCGGUGGGUACGGGCAGACUAGAGUGAUGUAGGGGAGACUGGAAUUCCUGGUGUAGCGGUGAAAUGCGCAGAUAUCAGGAGGAACACCGAUGGCGAAGGCAGGUCUCUGGGCAUUAACUGACGCUGAGGAGCGAAAGCAUGGGGAGCGAACAGGAUUAGAUACCCUGGUAGUCCAUGCCGUAAACGUUGGGCACUAGGUGUGGGGGACAUUCCACGUUUUCCGCGCCGUAGCUAACGCAUUAAGUGCCCCGCCUGGGGAGUACGGCCGCAAGGCUAAAACUCAAAGGAAUUGACGG